Molecule: long non-coding RNA, 1162 nt
Organism: Felis catus (domestic cat)
Lineage: Eukaryota; Metazoa; Chordata; Mammalia; Carnivora; Felidae
Exons: 3
Source: RefSeq, a predicted model, not a curated record
UCUGUCUCUCUCAAAUAAGUAAACUUAAAAAAAAUUAUUAUAAUGGUUAAAAGAACUUUAUUUUUUUUUUUUGAAACUUACAGCAAAGCUUCUUUGAUUAUCAUCAGUCAUUCCAUUCUCUGGUACACAUGUGAAGAAAUUUGCUACUCUUUACCUUGAUCACACUACCUAGAGCUGCCCAUGUAAAAAGCAACAUGAUCAUAAAUUACAUGCCUUCAUUUUUGACAUCUGACCUCGUAAUGAUAAAAUCAGGAAACCACAGACAUUUGAAAGUGAAAGAUCAACUCCAGGAAGUCCAUGGUUUCAGACAAUAAAUACUGAUCCACUUUGCCUAAAUCCAUUGCAAUAUAGUGUUUUAGGUCUAGAUAUUACUUUUUCAAGUGGCAGGAUUCUGGUUAUUUAAUUGAAAGUAGAGAUUUCAAUAGCUCUGGGCACCUCUUGGUACCUGAAUGAAACAUAUGUCUCCUAUUGGAACAGCUUAGCACCUUUGGGCUUGACAACAGGGACAGAUCUAAGAUUCUGAAAUAAUAUUAGAUUCCUUAGUUGAUUUGUAGCAUACGUUUGAAAUCACUGUUUAUUUUCUCAAUUCGUGGGGUCUUAACGCACAUGGCCUUUUCUCUGUAUCUGCAGCCAGUCUCUCCGCAGGUCUUCAGCUUCAGGUGCUUGUGUAAGAGUGCGGGCUGCUGCCUCAGUUGUCUCUCGUGGAAGGCCUCAAGUAUAUGUGCUGCUGAAGUGAGCAUCCUGCUGCCUUAGGAAGGCUCCAAAUCUCUCUUGGCUAAGCAAGGGUAAGAGAAAUCUGGGAUUGCAUGAUAAUGGAUGAGCCAGAGGUAAGCAAGGUUCAAUAAGAACUUUGAACAAGACCCUUAAAAUGUACUCUGUCUCAGAAUUCUAAAGCUCCAUCUAAACUCUAACUGAAGGGCUAAGUUCUAAAAUGAUAGUUAGGCAUUUUGCAAAUUUCCCAUCCUUAUAGUCCCAGCAUGGGGUGGCAAGGUUAGUGGUGAGCCCUAAACUCAUCUGAAAAUCUUUUAGAAAAUACUGGUACCUGGGACUCAUCCAAGACCAAUUAAAUCAGAAAUACUAUGAGUUGGGGUAUUGAUACCUCUGUAAAAGUUCCCAAUGAAUUUAAAAAGGAGCUAGGGUUGAGAACCACUGCAUUAUUGGA